Long non-coding RNA from Equus asinus (donkey), 2129 nucleotides. The record is from Ensembl. NCBI's taxonomy places the organism in Eukaryota, Metazoa, Chordata, Mammalia, Perissodactyla, Equidae.
UUCCAUCUGAGUGGGAUCCUCUGCGCUCGCGUUUUGGUCUGGUCUCCCAGUUUAGCGCCUGGGAAACACACUGAAUGAGGUGACAGUGAGCCCCAAGCAAGUCCCUCCCUCUGUUCCUAAUGAGCUGAUUGAUCUCUGGCAACUUACCUUCCUGGCCUUCCAUUUUGUUUCCUGAAAAAAAGAAAAGACGACAAUCAAUGUUUUGCACACUGUGCUCCGUAGAUCUCCAAAAGGAAGGAAGAAGAAAGAGAGGGAGGGUGGAGGGAGGACCCCGCAGCAGUCAGGAGCAGUCAGACUUCUCACUGCUGCAAUAGUCUGUGCUUAAAGGAUCACAUAUUCUAGUGCUCAGGGAGGGCCUUUUCCAGAAGUAAUCAUCCUCAGAGGCUUCAUGAGUUUCUUUCCUCCCUCCCUGUUGUUAACGUGCAGGAGAGAGCAGGCAGCGAGCAGACGGGGCCAAGGGGAGCUGGCUUUACAGCUUGGUUUGUGCAGUCGAGAAGCAGAGCAUUGGGCUGAAGGACCUGUGGAGACUCCUUCCACAUCGUAAUGACUGAAGUAGCUGAAAGGAGGGCUGGAGAACUGUUUCAUCUUUUCUGCACCCCGGCAUGCCUGAGACUGAGGAGGCAGAGAGACAUCUAGAAGGAAGAUAUCUGCCACCCCCAGAGGUGGAAGGACGAUUCCACACGGAGCGUAAUGCCUUGCACUCAGUAGAUAGUCAAUAAAGGUUGAUGGAGGUGACAGGAACAAAAUGGGCUCUAGGACGGAGUCACUACAGGGAGGUCUGCAGGCUCACUAGCUGACUCUGCUGUGGAGCUGGGGGCUCGCUGCUUCUCUGAUCCUGGAGGACGCUUCUCAGGUUCGUAUGUCAACCUAAAGCACUGAAAACAGCUCAGAAGUGGGGGGAACUGCAGUCUACUAGUUUAAUUUCCCCACCUUGCAGAGAGAAAAAAAAAACAGCCUUAAAAGGAAACAAUGUAACAAGUAACGAGCGCCCUGGCUCCUUUGAGAAAUGUCUGACAUGACAUCGAUGUUGCAUUGGGGACAACUGCAAUCACACCUUUCCUACUUGGAGACUUGCUGAAAUGGGGCAGAAAACGAAAUGGGACUGAGAGGGGCUGUCCUGGAAGCCCCCUCCUCACGAAUAUCUGUUAUUUAUGAGGGUAUCAGAGCUCAAAAAUGCUCCAAGUUCACAGUCCCACUUUUAUCACAGAAAUGAUGGGCAGGGAGGAGGCAUAAAUGUCUGCUUAGAAAAUAAAAACCGAACAUCAGAAUCAGGAGAAAUGGCCAUAAAUUCCCCCUGAUGAGUGGUGUAUUUGAUCAAUCAAUCAGCUUUGCAGAACAGCCAUGUCACCAGCAACAGCCAUCCACUUCCCUGGGACCCAAGGCACAGCGAGUGAGCCCAGGCACCCCUGAAUGAAGAGCAGGAUGCAGAGCUGUUCCUGAGCCCCAUCCACACAAGAGCAGCUUCCCUUCCCCUGCGUCCCACUGAAGACCUCCCUCCACCACCACUGCUCUGCCCAGCCCAGGCCACAGGGAUGGGAGAUCUCCCUCAGGCAAGGCAGCAGUCUUGAAACCCCACACCAGACACCAGGUGAGAAGAUGGAACGAGGGACCAGGCAUGGCCAGGAGACAGUGCUCCCCUAGGCAGGCAAGAGUGCUCCUGACCAGGAAACAGAAGUCAGGCAGGACAAUGAGCAUCUUGAGGAGGGACUUUUUCAUGGGAAAAGGAACACCAGAGGCCUAAACUCUGAAAAUAUCCCAUUGGUUUGUUUUUUUUGACUGGGACAAAGACUUAUUUUUAUUGACAAGGAAAAGUGUGUGUUACAUUUAAUCAAAAAAAGCACGUUGGAGAGCAGCAUUCUUUAUGCAGAUUAAAAGCAAACAGUCUAUUCAUUUGAUUUGCUUUUUCCCGUUGGUUUGCUAUUAGGAGAAUCUUCCUUGGCCAUUUUGAGAAAAUGUCUCAUGUCCCUCCCAUGGAAUCUGGAUUAAGAUGUAGUGUUAUUUCUGCCCAUGUUUCCUUACUUUCUAUCACCAAAAGGAACUUAUCGAGAAAAACAUGCUGGCGAAGAUGUGAAGAAAAGGCAACUCUUAUGCACUGUUGGGGGGAAUGCAAACUGGUGCAGCCACUAAGA